Molecule: ribosomal RNA, 801 nt
Filed under: uncultured Pelagibacteraceae bacterium
Lineage: Bacteria; Pseudomonadati; Pseudomonadota; Alphaproteobacteria; Candidatus Pelagibacterales; Candidatus Pelagibacteraceae
Description: bacterial SSU rRNA
Rfam family: Bacterial small subunit ribosomal RNA
Source: RNAcentral
GCUGGCGGCACGCCUAACACAUGCAAGUCGAACGAAGUAGCAAUACUUAGUGGCAGACGGGUGAGUAACAUGUAGGUAUCUUCCCUUUGGCCUGGAAUAACACGAGGAAACUUGUGCUAAUACCGGAUAAGUCUUCACAGAGAAAGCUUUAUGCACCAUUGGAUGAGCCUGCACUUGAUUAGUUUGUUGGUGGGGUAAUGGCCUACCAAGACUGUGAUCAAUAGCUGAUUUGAGAGGAUGAUCAGCCACAUUGGGACUGAGACACGGCCCAAACUCCUACGGGAGGCAGCAGUGGGGAAUCUUGCACAAUGGAGGAAACUCUGAUGCAGCGAUGCCGCGUGAGUGAAGAAGGCCCUUGGGUUGUAAAGCUCUUUCGUCGGGGAAGAAAAUGACUGUACCCGAAUAAGAAGGUCCGGCUAACUUCGUGCCAGCAGCCGCGGUAAUACGAAGGGACCUAGCGUAGUUCGGAAUUACUGGGCUUAAAGAGUUCGUAGGUGGUUGAAAUAGUUGGUGGUGAAAUCCCAGAGCUUAACUCUGGAACUGCCAUCAAAACUUUUCAGCUAGAGUUUGAUAGAGGAAAGCAGAAUUUCUAGUGUAGAGGUGAAAUUCGUAGAUAUUAGAAAGAAUACCAAUUGCGAAGGCAGCUUUCUGGAUCAUUACUGACACUGAGGAACGAAAGCAUGGGUAGCGAAGAGGAUUAGAUACCCUCGUAGUCCAUGCCGUAAACGAUGUGUGUUAGACGUUGGAAAUUUAUUUUCAGUGUCGCAGCGAAAGCGAUAAACACACCGCCUGGGGAGUACG